GACGAACGCUGGCGGCGUGCUUAACACAUGCAAGUCGAACGAAGAGCGAUGGAAGCUUGCUUCUAUCAAUCUUAGUGGCGAACGGGUGAGUAACGCGUAAUCAACCUGCCCUUCAGAGGGGGACAACAGUUGGAAACGACUGCUAAUACCGCAUACGAUCUAAUCUCGGCAUCGAGGAUAGAUGAAAGGUGGCCUCUACAUGUAAGCUAUCACUGAAGGAGGGGAUUGCGUCUGAUUAGCUAGUUGGAGGGGUAACGGCCCACCAAGGCGAUGAUCAGUAGCCGGUCUGAGAGGAUGAACGGCCACAUUGGGACUGAGACACGGCCCAGACUCCUACGGGAGGCAGCAGUGGGGAAUCUUCCGCAAUGGACGAAAGUCUGACGGAGCAACGCCGCGUGAGUGAUGACGGCCUUCGGGGUUGUAAAAGCUCUGUUAAAUCGGG
This 442-nucleotide ribosomal RNA is filed under the name Veillonella parvula. Its description in RNAcentral is "bacterial SSU rRNA". It matches the Rfam family "Bacterial small subunit ribosomal RNA", at positions 28 to 445 of the family's 1533-position model. Lineage: Bacteria; Bacillati; Bacillota; Negativicutes; Veillonellales; Veillonellaceae. The record is from RNAcentral.